Molecule: long non-coding RNA, 488 nt
Filed under: Rattus norvegicus (Norway rat)
Lineage: Eukaryota; Metazoa; Chordata; Mammalia; Rodentia; Muridae
Description: long non-coding RNA NONRATT020130
Source: RNAcentral
UUCCUGCCCUACCCACCACGGCCCUGCCAACAGGACCAGGCUAACUCUAAUUCCACAACCCAAGACCCUACCCAAAGGGUGGUGCUGAUGCUGCGAGAACGCUGGCAUUUCUGCCGUGAUGGCAGGGUGCUGCUGGGCUCUCGGGCUCUGAGGGAGCGGCACCUGGGCCUAAUGGGCUACCAACUCCUGCCGGUGAGAAAUUCUGUCCCACCCUUUGCAUGUGUGUUCUUAUAAACAACCCACUGCAGCCUGUCUUCUCCCCACAGCUGCCAUUUGAAGAACUGGAAUCUCAGAGAGGCCUGCCCCAGCUCAAGAGCUACCUGAGGCAGAAGCUUCAGGCCUUAGGUCUUCGCUGGGGACCUGAGGGUGGGUGAGGGAGUACACACAGUACACAUGGGGCACAGGAUGGAUCCCCUAUGGGGAGGAGGGUGGACAGUUUGCACUUUGGCUCCCUGUUAUUUUUUUCAUUAAAAUCCCUUUCCUUCCUG